This is a long non-coding RNA of Sphaeramia orbicularis (orbiculate cardinalfish), 146 nucleotides long. RefSeq lists it as uncharacterized. NCBI's taxonomy places the organism in Eukaryota, Metazoa, Chordata, Actinopteri, Kurtiformes, Apogonidae. The record is from RefSeq and is a predicted model, not a curated record. The transcript is spliced from 3 exons.
UUCUUUGACUGUGUAAAUAAUUCAUUUCUCAGACAGGGGUAGUUGUUUGUUUACCUGCUUUACUAGUUUCAGCUACAUCCUGUAGCCUUCAUCAGAAGCGUCACAAUGAUGUUGCUGUGGCAUGUCUUAUAGGUUGCUCAGUAGGG